This 238-nucleotide long non-coding RNA is filed under the name Hordeum vulgare. Its description in RNAcentral is "long non-coding RNA (HVUL_LNC020975)". The record is from RNAcentral. Lineage: Eukaryota; Viridiplantae; Streptophyta; Magnoliopsida; Poales; Poaceae.
CUUGUUGUUGUUGUUGUCGUCGUCGUCGUCUUCGCUGUUCAGGUUGUUGUUCUUGUUGUUCUUGUUGUUGUCGUUGAUAUCGUUGUUGCCGUUGUUGUCAUUGUCGUUGUUGUUGUUGUUGUCAUUGUUGUUGUUGUUGUUGUUGUUGUCGUUGCUGCCGCUUUUGUCGUUGUUCUCGUCCUCGUCGUCAUUGUCAUCAUCGUCGUCGUCGUCGUCGUUGUUAUUGUUGUUGUUGUUG